GAAAAUCUAUUUUGAGCCUCAUUUUCCCUCUUCAAUUUAUUGAUGACAAAUAAAUCUCUUAAAGAAAAUUCAUUGUCUUCCCAUUCCCAAUAACCACAUGACCCCUUAUUCUACAAGAAAAAAAUUAUAAACAUCAGAAGAAAUCAUCCAUAUAAAUAUGUUUAAAAUUAGACACAAAAUUCACAAGAUUUCACAUGAAACAAAUGGCCAAUUACAUCAGGUUUUGGUCACCUAAAAAAAUAUCUUCCAGGAUUCUCAGGAGUCUUGGACGUGAGAUGCAGAGCUAUAAUUUCACAACAGCACAUCCUCUUACAGCCGUAUGAAGAACUAGAAGAUUGAGAGAUUUCAUGAACAAUGGACAGAAAUAAAAUAAAGAAAAUGACUUUAAUCUUACUCCUAAGCUCUAGAUAUUGCGAAAUUUACUCGAAUUAAAGGAAAAUAAUACUCACUUGAACAGAAUCGGAAAAUUUAGAAGAGGGGCUAGGGUUUUCAAGAAGGAGGGAAAGAAUGUUAAUAGAAGAAGAAGAAUAAGUUCGGGUCUCUUGAAAAAGCGACGGGUUGGAGAGAGGCGAGGGGAUUGGUACAUUUAUUAGUAUAA
This 598-nucleotide long non-coding RNA is filed under the name Nicotiana benthamiana. Its description in RNAcentral is "long non-coding RNA (NBEN_LNC038886)". Lineage: Eukaryota; Viridiplantae; Streptophyta; Magnoliopsida; Solanales; Solanaceae. The record is from RNAcentral.